AGGCCUAACACAUGCAAGUCGAACGGACGAGCAGGAGCUUGCUUCUGUGAGUAAGUGGCGGACGGGUGAGUAACGCGUGAGCAACCUGCCUUUCAGAGGGGGAUAACGUCUGGAAACGGACGCUAAUACCGCAUAAGCUCCGAGGAUCGCAUGGUCUCAGGAGCAAAGGAGGAAUCCGCUGAAAGAUGGGCUCGCGUCCGAUUAGGUAGUUGGUGAGGGUAACGGCCCACCAAGCCGACGAUCGGUAGCCGGACUGAGAGGUUGAACGGCCACAUUGGGACUGAGACACGGCCCANACUCCUACGGGAGGCAGCAGUGGGGAAUAUUGGUCAAUGGGGGAAACCCUGAANCAGCAACGCCGCGUGAGGGAAGAAGGUCUUCGGAUUGUAAACCUUUGUCC
RNAcentral lists this ribosomal RNA (400 nucleotides) under uncultured bacterium. RNAcentral describes it as "bacterial SSU rRNA". It matches the Rfam family "Bacterial small subunit ribosomal RNA", at positions 44 to 438 of the family's 1533-position model. The record is from RNAcentral.